AUUGAACGCUGGCGGCGUGCCUAACACAUGCAAGUCGAGCGGCAGCGCGGGAGCAAUCCUGGCGGCGAGCGGCGGACGGGUGAGUAACGCUUGGGAAUCUGCCUGUUAGUGGGGGACAACCCGGGGAAACGUCGGGCUAAUACCGCAUACGCACUACGGUGGAAAGCCGGGACCGCAAGGCCUGGCGCUAACAGAUGAGCCCAAGUCGGAUUAGCUAGUUGGUAGGGUAACGGCCACCAAGGCGACGAUCCGUAACUGGUCUGAGAGGACGACCAGUCACACCGGAACUGAGACACGGUCCGGACUCCUACGGGAGGCAGCAGUGGGGAAUAUUGGACAAUGGGGGAAACCCUGAUCCAGCGACGCCGCGUGGGUGAAGAAGGCCU
Molecule: ribosomal RNA, 386 nt
Filed under: uncultured bacterium
Lineage: Bacteria
Description: bacterial SSU rRNA
Rfam family: Bacterial small subunit ribosomal RNA
Source: RNAcentral